UUUUAGAAGGUCAAACACUUCAAUGAAUUAAAUCAAAUAAGAAGUAAGCAUGAGAAAUGGGGUCUCAUUUUUUAAAUGCACGACCUCAACAUAUAGAUAAGAAAAUGUGAUUUGAAAAUUAAAUCAAGCAAAUAUGAUUCGGGUGUUGCUCCCUCCACCUCUCCAAGUCCCUACACCUCCUCAUUAAAUUUUUUUUAUUCAAGAAAUGUCCUUACAUGAAUGCACCCCCACACCUCCACCACUUCUACGCAGAACGCAUCUCCACAUUCGUCGACGGAGCUCUAUAUCCGUUGAAGGCUGAAUGGAUUUUCCAUAUCCAUUCAGCUUUCCACGCUUUCUUUCACCAUUAACAUUCAUCCUACUUACUUGCGUGCAAAGGAAAAAUCCAUGCUCUUCUUCUUUCAAUAGUACUUGCGUGCAAAGGAAAGAUCUCUCUCUCUUCCAACAAUCUAGUCCCAUACCCUUAACUAUAUGCAACCAUACCUUUUCUCCCCUGACAAGCACACGUAAACCAAGGUCUCCUCUUUAUCUAACAUCCAUGACCCCAUACAAGGAAUACACACCUACUAAUUCACAAAUUCAAAACCCAUAUUGUUUACUACAAACACACUGAAUGUACAAAACAACUGACCUCGUUGGUGUUUAAUGAAUUGAUUCUUAAUUUCAUAUGCUUUUUCAUUAAUUGUUAGAGUAAUUCAUUUGUUCUUAUUGCUUGCUUAUACAAUAGCAUGAUCUGUGAGUUGCAUAAGUGUCGACAGGUUCCUUUCAAUUUAGGUCCUUGUUGAAUUACUCCUAAGAAUUAUAUUUCUCAGGGAUGAGGGUAUGAGUCUUAGUCAUCUUAACCUUUUGAUCUUCACAUCUUUGUACCAGGAAUGCUAGGAAUUGUAUGAACUGGUAAUUAGGGACAGGCUUAUUUACUGAGGGAUCGAGUUUAAGUGUUUUAGUGAGGGACGUUGGCAUUAAUGCAUAAAGAAGAAUUCUUAUAUACAUGAGACGAAACUUGGUGAAAUCUAACACCAACAACAUACCUAUCUCAUAUUAAUCAACCUCCGUUCAUCUUUGUGCUUUAUUGUCACUAAUCAAUUUUAUUUUGCUUUAUUUUAUUAUUUUUGCAAUACAACUCAUGAUCUCUUUUAUUUUAAGUCUUAAUUAAUCUUUUUUUCACACAACUGUUCAGCGUAGAGAGUCCUCUAGGAUACGAUACUUGGUCUUACCAUUUUAUAUUACUUGUGCGACUCAGUACACUUGCCGAUUUGCCCCAACAAGUUUUGGGCGUCGUUGUCGGGGACUCACGGUUUAAGCUAUUCUAUUUGUGUGAUCCUUGAUCAAUUUUUACUUCAUUUUAUUUUUAUUUUCUU
This 1358-nucleotide long non-coding RNA is filed under the name Vigna radiata. RNAcentral describes it as "long non-coding RNA (VRAD_LNC008409)". The record is from RNAcentral. Lineage: Eukaryota; Viridiplantae; Streptophyta; Magnoliopsida; Fabales; Fabaceae.